Molecule: ribosomal RNA, 1218 nt
Filed under: uncultured Rhizaria
Lineage: Eukaryota
Description: SSU rRNA
Rfam family: Eukaryotic small subunit ribosomal RNA
Source: RNAcentral
CGGUAAUUCCAGCUCCAAUAGCGCAUACUAAAGUUGUUGCAGUUAAAAAGCUCGUAGUUGGAUUUCUGCGGGGACGGAGCGGCCGGUCGCAACUUGCGACUCGAGCUAGCGCUUUCCCCGCAUCCUGCCGCGAACCGUGCUACCAUUAGCUUGGUGGCGCUGGGGAUCGGCUCGAUUACUUUGAGAAAAAUAGAGUGUUCAAAGCAGGCCACACGCCUUGAAUAAGUUAGCAUGGAAUAAUGACUAAGGACUUCGGUUCUAUUUUGUUGGUGUUCGGGACUGAAGUAAUGAUUGAUAGGGACAGUUGGGGCGGUCUGUAUUCCAAAGCGAGAGGUGAAAUUCUUAGACCUUCGGAAGACAAACAGCUGCGAAAGCGUUCCGCAAGGAUGUUCCCUUUGAUCAAGAACGAAAGUUGGGGGAUCGAAGACGAUCAGAUACCGUCGUAGUCUCGACUAUAAACUAUACCAGCUAGGGAUCGGUCAACGUUUAAUCAUUCGACUUGAUCGGCACCUUAUGAGAAAUCAAAGCAUCUGGGUUCCGGGGGGAGUAUGGUCGCAAGGCUGAAACUUAAAGGAAUUGACGGAAGGGCACCACCAGCCGUGGAGCCUGUGGCUUAAUUUGACUCAACACGGGAAAACUUACCAGGUCCAGACAUAGUAAGGAUUGACAGAUUGAUAGCUCUUUCUUGAUUCUGUGGGUGGUGGUGCAUGGCCGUUCUUAGUUGGUGGAGUGAUUUGUCUGGUUAAUUCCGUUAACGAACGAGACCCCAGCCUGCUAAAUAGCGCGGCUGAGCUUUGCUCGGUGCGAGCUUCUUAGAGGGACUAUGAUGCGCGAUAGCACAUGGAAGUUUGGGGCAAUAACAGGUCUGUGAUGCCCUUAGAUGUUCUGGGCCGCACACGGGCUACACUGGCGCCUGCAACGAGCAUAUCAGCUGGCCCGAGAGGGUCUUGGCUAAUCUUUUGAACCGGCGCCGUGCUUGGGAUUGACCAUUGCAAUUGUUGGUCAUGCAACGAGGAAUGCCUUGUAAACGCGAGUCAUCAGCUCGCAUUGAAUACGUCCCUGCCCUUUGUACACACCGCCCGUCGCUCCUACCGAUGAAUGUUCCGAUGAAAUUUUCGGAGAGCGCCAGAGAACGGGGCUCUGCCUUGCAGAUCUGGAGGCUCAAAGUCACUUAAAUCUGAACAUUUCGAGGAAGGAGAAGUCGUAACAAGGUAGCCG